Scophthalmus maximus (turbot) is the source of this 3174-nucleotide long non-coding RNA. RefSeq lists it as uncharacterized. The record is from RefSeq and is a predicted model, not a curated record. Lineage: Eukaryota; Metazoa; Chordata; Actinopteri; Pleuronectiformes; Scophthalmidae. The transcript has 3 exons.
AACACAUUCGGCACGUACGCCGGAAAGAGGGGAAGAGUCAGAAAUGUCUUAAUGUUGCCAUAAAAGGGAAGAAUUAAGCGUUAAGAGUUGUUAUUGGAUUAACACCAAACACAACGACGAUCAAGGGGGAAGGCAUGGUGUCUUCGCAAGACACCAUGGACGGAGCAAGUGGACAUCCAGCCGACAUCUGCUGAGGAUGAGACUUCAGGACAUCUUCCACAUUUCUGCGAGAGGAGGACUAGCCGUUGAGCCCUUGAGCUGUGGAUGAGAAUUCGGACACUUGAAGACUUUCUCCCCGUUCACUCCGCUGGACAUGAGAUAGAGACUGAACACGAACGGUUUGGCCCCAAGGCCAGGAGACUCGUUCCCUCCAACCAACAUCAACAAGUAACAACGAAUUAGAUACUGAGCCUCAGCACUUAGAGAUGAGAGUAUUCCACGUGAUUUUAAUCAGCUUAAUCAUUUAUGGGAAACUAUAUCCUUUUAAUUAUUGUACCAUAUUUACUCUUUUGAUGAUCAUGCUGUGUGCUCGCCAUUGCUAAACGCUUUCAAUAAAUACCAACUUACAAUUAAAGGAAGAUUGUUAUCAUUGAGUUCUUUCAGCGACAGUAAAAGUUUGGAGUUUUGACAUUAAAACAUCCUUAAGGUUUUUAUAGGUUGUUCUAGCCAACUAAAAAGCAACAGAUCCCUGGGACCUUAUACUUGGUCACUAAAAUAAUCCUAGCACUUAACAAGAGCCCAGAUCACCCGAGGAGAGCUGCCGUUAACGGACGUGGCUGACAGAGGCAGUGUGGCGCACAGGGCUGUUCGGCCGGCUGCGCUGUUCAGCAGAAGCGGGGUAAGACGUUCGGACGAAGGCAGUGAGACAGCUAGGCGAGUCUCCUCACCACCAGCUUAAACAAGCGCGGGCUACUCCAUCGGGGUAAUACUCCAUAGUACCCGCACUCGGACCCUUUAAGACGGAGAGCUGGACCGGCACCUCCCUGGCAGGGGAAGUGCGCCUGGGAUCUAACAUGACCCAACUUUCUGAUUGGACGUGAAUUUUACAGUUCUGCUACAGCCAUAGAUUAGGGAUAGAUUUUUCCCGUUUCAGUGUCAGAUCAUUCAAUAUAUUCAUCGCUAUCGGUAUGUUAAGAGAGUUUCAAGUAGCUUUAGCUUUCCCUACACAGAGGCAACAGCAUGAUUUCUCAUAUUAAAUAAGCAGUAUUCUGACUGUUGAUUCAAUAUUAAUUUAUUUGAUUGAUUAGCUUUGCAGCUCAACCCAUUUGAUUUCAAAUUGUUCAUGACAGUUUUUCUUCCCCUGAAGUGACCUUAUAUUCAUGGGCAUUUGGGCAUAAACUCUCUGUGACAGCUGAUGCACCGUACAAACCAUUAAUACAAAGCAUGGCUCACCCAAAAUAUAUGUAUUUGCCUCGAUUAACCUUUAUUUUACCCCUACAGUCAGAGUCAGAGCAAGUUUGAUAACUUUUAAGUACCAAAAGAUUUGAUGACAGCUGGUGCAAGACACUAGCAGGGUAGGUUUUUCCAGAUCAGUCUUCAUUUCCUGACAUUUCCUGGAAGUUGUUCAACCUCCUCCAGGUUGUUAGACUAAACACAAACAAGUCAUCCAUUCAAAGAAACAUGCUGAUACUUUCUAUCCUGUUUCUGUUAGACCUGUUGUAUAACUCUGUCCAGGUGAGUUAAUUGCAAUUUUUUUUUUCAUUAAAGGAAAACUUCAUACAACACCAUGGGCCGGAUGUGUAACGGGUUCUCUUCUUCUGCCAUUUUUGAGGCACAGAUGUGAUUAAUUCACCCCCAAACCCAUGACUCUCACCCCUGGCAGUUAAGGGAGGGGGGAGACGUGAACAGAGGAUGAUUGUGCAUUAUUCUAUAGAGAGAUAAUAGUCUCAAAAAGGUCACAAAUGUGUAUCACAUGGUCUAUAAGUGAAAGAUAAGAGUUACAAAUGCGUACAAUGAUUUGUGCUUAACUUUGGGUAUUCACAUGCGUGUUCAAAUCCACAAACAAAUACAAAGCAGUCUAUCCACACAUAACUUUACAGAUCUAAUAAUGUUCACUUUCUUCCUGUGAGUACAAAUGUCUAAAAACGUGUGACAUUGUUUGUAUUCAAUUACAGAUUGUUAAACGCUCAACUUACAUGUGGCAGCUCUGAAAAGAUUCACAAAUGUGUCCUACGUUUCAGUGCUGCCCCCCACACACCUUCGCUGCCUCCCCUCCUCCCCCUCUCUCCCCUGUGGUGAGCACACCGGAUCCAAUCCCCCCACCUUCACAACACCUCCAUCCCCCCAUGGACAGUCAGAACCCCCUCCGCCGCUGGACUGUGACAAUGGCCCAGGAGACAGUUGGAGAGACUUCACCAACACAAGGCUGCGGGACCCGAUGGCAUCAGCCCCAGGCUUCUGAAGACCUGUGCCAGCCAGCUUUGUGCUGUUCUCCAGCAUCUCUUCAACCUGAGCCUGGAACAGGUACCGGUGCUGUGGAAGACGGCGAAGAAGUCGACUCCAUCCGGACUCAACGACUAGCAACCAGUUGCCUUCACAUCUCAGGUGCUGGAGAGGCUGGUCUUGGCCCACCCGAGGUCGCAGUGCUUUCAACAACAUCCAGCCACUGCUACUGGGUGACAAGCUGCGGUUGAUGGGUGUCGGUCUCCUGGAUCACUAACUACCUGACAGGCAGGCAACAGUUUGUACGACUGAGCCGUGUUCUGUCUGACAUGGUGGUGAGUGGUACAGGAGCUCAACAGGGGACUGUGCUGUCUCCUUUCCUGUUCACCGUAUACACCACUGACUUUAUGUACAACUCUGAGUUGUGCCACUUGCAGAAGUUCUCUGAUGACUCUGCAGUGGUUGGGUGUAUACGGGAUGGACAGGAGGGAGAGUACAGAGCGCUGGUAGACGGGUUUGUGGAGUGGGCGGGAGCAAUCACCUGCUGAUGAAUGUGGACAAGACCAGAGAGACGGUGAUCGACUUCAGGAGGAAGUUUUGUUUUUUUGGAUAAUUAGAUGACCUGUGGCAGAUGACCUGUGUGACGACGUAUGCCGAAUAAUCUCCCCCUUUUCAUUCUGGGGGAAGAGGUGGAGACAGUGGAGGACUACAAGUACCUGGGAGUCAACAUCGAAAACGGACUGAACUGGAAAACCAACAGCCUGACUGUGUACAAGAAGGGGAUGAGCAGAC